GCGGCAGGCUUAACACAUGCAAGUCGAGCGGGCCCUUCGGGGNUCAGCGGCGGACGGGUGAGUAACGCGUGGGAACGUGCCUUCUGGUUCGGAAUAACCCUGGGAAACUAGGGCUAAUACCGGAUACGCCCUUAUGGGGAAAGGUUUACUGCCGGAAGAUCGGCCCGCGUCUGAUUAGCUAGUUGGUGGGGUAAUGGCCUACCAAGGCGACGAUCAGUAGCUGGUCUGAGAGGAUGAUCAGCCACACUGGGACUGAGACACGGCCCAGACUCCUACGGGAGGCAGCAGUGGGGAAUAUUGGACAAUGGGCGCAACUGNAUCCAGCCAUGCCGCGUGAGUGAUGAAGGCCUUAGGGUUGUAAAGCUCUUUUAUCCGGGACGAUAAUGACGGUACCGGAGGAAUAAGCCCCGGCUAACUUCGUGCCAGCAGCCGCGGUAAUACGAAGGGGCUAGCGUUGCUCGGAAUCACUGGGCGUAAAGGGCGCGUAGGCGGCGUUUUAAGUCGGGGGUGAAAGCCUGUGGUCAACU
Molecule: ribosomal RNA, 527 nt
Filed under: Methylobacterium sp. B33
Lineage: Bacteria; Pseudomonadati; Pseudomonadota; Alphaproteobacteria; Hyphomicrobiales; Methylobacteriaceae
Description: bacterial SSU rRNA
Rfam family: Bacterial small subunit ribosomal RNA
Source: RNAcentral